GUUUCCUACGGGGGGCAGCAGUGAGGAAUAUUGGUCAAUGGGCGGAAGCCUGAACCAGCCAAGUCGCGUGAGGGAAUAAGGCCCUACGGGUCGUAAACCUCUUUUGCCGGGGAGCAAGGGCGGGGACGUGUCCCGGCCCGGAGAGUACCCGGAGAAAAAGCACCGGCUAACUCCGUGCCAGCAGCCGCGGUAAUACGGAGGGUGCGAGCGUUAAUCGGAAUUACUGGGCGUAAAGCGCUCGUAGGCGGUAUGUCAAGUAAGGGUGAAAUCCCCGCGCUCAACGUGGGAACUGCCUUUGAAACUGG
RNAcentral lists this ribosomal RNA (305 nucleotides) under uncultured bacterium. Its description in RNAcentral is "bacterial SSU rRNA". It matches the Rfam family "Bacterial small subunit ribosomal RNA", at positions 334 to 636 of the family's 1533-position model. The record is from RNAcentral.